This 505-nucleotide long non-coding RNA is filed under the name Monodelphis domestica (gray short-tailed opossum). RNAcentral describes it as "lncRNA (ENSMODG00000038994.1)". Lineage: Eukaryota; Metazoa; Chordata; Mammalia; Didelphimorphia; Didelphidae. The record is from RNAcentral.
CCUCAAGUGGCAGCCAAUGAGAGGGAUUCGAUCUAGAUAAUCACAAUCCUGUCUUCAGGAAUGGAGAAGAGAUCAUAAAGUUGAUUGGCAAGACUAUGGUGCUCAAGAUGCAGUGAAUGACCUUGACUUCUUUGAUGUCUAACCAAGCUCUAAAAUGCAACAUCUUUGGGAGUAAGGAGGGCUCAUUCUUUGUACUUUUUUUAUACUCUUCAAUCCACUGACACUGGCCUCCUUGCUGUUCCAUGAAUGAGAUGCUCCAUCUUCUCAGGAAGCAGAUGCAAUGCAUUUGAUGGGAGUACCUGCUGUUCCUGGCUGGAGAAAGAAAUCUUCUUAAUUACAUGUACUCUGAAGUGGAUUAUCUCAAGACAAGAAUUUCACUACUAAUACCAAUGCCAUAAGAGACAUGCAAGACUAUCAGACAGUCAUCUUCUCCAUCUGGCUCCUUGUUUGUCUUGAUGAGGCCCAAGGGAAGUUGAUUACUAUGGAAGAAAUUAUGCUCAUCCUA